RNAcentral lists this ribosomal RNA (395 nucleotides) under uncultured bacterium. RNAcentral's name for it is "bacterial SSU rRNA". It matches the Rfam family "Bacterial small subunit ribosomal RNA", at positions 29 to 452 of the family's 1533-position model. The record is from RNAcentral.
AGCGAACGCUGGCGGCAGGCUUAACACAUGCAAGUCGAGCGGGCCCUUCGGGGUCAGCGGCAGACGGGUGAGUAACACGUGGGAACGUACCCUUCGGUUCGGAAUAACUCAGGGAAACUUGAGCUAAUACCGGAUACGCCCUUUUGGGGAAAGGUUUACUGCCGAAGGAUCGGCCCGCGUCUGAUUAGCUAGUUGGUGGGGUAAUGGCCCACCAAGGCGACGAUCAGUAGCUGGUCUGAGAGGAUGAUCAGCCACACUGGGACUGAGACACGGCCCAGACUCCUACGGGAGGCAGCAGUGGGGAAUAUUGGACAAUGGGCGCAAGCCUGAUCCAGCCAUGCCGCGUGUGUGAUGAAGGCCUUAGGGUUGUAAAGCACUUUCGACGGGACGAUAAU